RNAcentral lists this long non-coding RNA (4228 nucleotides) under Homo sapiens (human). RNAcentral describes it as "HSALNT0171442". Lineage: Eukaryota; Metazoa; Chordata; Mammalia; Primates; Hominidae. The record is from RNAcentral.
GAAUUACAAAACAAUAUUUAUUUUAUAUGUAAGAUUACAUAUGUCAGGAGGUUCUAUUCAUAAACAGUGGAUCUAACACAUCAAGUGACAUCUAAAAAUCAUUAGUUAAUUAUAAGUUUAUUCUGAAAAAUUUAUUUUUAUUACUUUUAUUUCCACAAAGUCAUUGUUACUGAAGUCCAGAUUUUUACAUGAUAAAUAUUCUGUUGACAUUAAAGCCAAAUUAGAUAAACUCUUCUUGAAUCACUGUAGUCUUAAAGUAGAUUUUUUUUCCUAAUUUAAAUUUAGAAAACUUCAUUCUGCUAAAGUAGUAGUAACUAGAAUUGUCACUAAAAUCUUAAACCAAUUACUGUAAUUUGAAAAUAAAUGAACUUUACAUAUCAUAUCUAAAUCUUGCAAUGGUGUUGCAUACAACGAUGUAUCUGUCGCAGAAUAUCUUAAUUUUAUCAAAUAAAGCCCUACCAAUUAAAUUGUAAAUAUUUUCAUUCCUUAAUUCAUUUCUUAAGUUUUUCUGCAUUCAGAAUUUUCAUGUUUGUACAGAAAACUGAAAACAGCAGUGUGUUGCUACUUUAUUCCAAAUUUGGAAUGGGAAAGGUUUGCAUCCUGAAAGAGCACCUGGAGUGGAAGGGAGAGUCAGGUGAAACAGGUUCAGUGAGAGGCUGUGUGCUCAACAGGGUGGAGUCCUGCUUUGAAACCAGCCUGCUGCUCUGCACACAUUCUUCCAAGAUGGGCCCGGAGGUUCCUUCAAAGCAACACGGACUAUGGAUUUAGGGGUUCAAGACUCCUCCAGCUCUCCCUCUGCUUCUGCCGCUGCAGCAGGGAUUGGAGGCGUUGCUUGCAGUGGGCUCUCUCCCCAUUUCGCCUUCAUGUCUCCCUAUUCUGUUUUGCCUUUUGAUCCUCCUAAUCCUAGUCUCAUUAAUUUCUUCCAUUGUAUUCCUUCAGCGUCUUCCUUUUCCUCGGAUUUCCCACUUUCUUACUGAUUGGAUCCCAGUGAAGACCCCAAGAUUGCAGCCAUCUUGACUGCCCUGACUCAGCAUUCCUGGAUUCGCCAGUUCCCGCCAUCCCAGCGGCCAUCUUGGCUACCCUGACUUGGCAUUUUCACCUGUUCCCGCCAUUUAUUCCCGCCAUCUCGGCAGCCACCUCGGAUACCCUGACUCAGCAUUUCCGGGUCCACCUUUCUUGUUCCCGCCGCCUCAGUGAACACGCAUGCCCACUAAAGCACAUCACUAAGGCACAUCACUCAUCUAUAUAAGCGCGCUGCACCUUUGGCACAGCGCGACUUCCCUGACCCUCCCCCUGCAGACCACUGAACCUCGCCGGAGAGCUCAAUUAAGAAGAUUUUUGCCCUCUUUGUCUCGCCUCUCGGCCUUAUUGAUCCACGGUGCCCUUCCAUUGCCUUUCAUUGGUGCCAAAACCCGGGAAGGGACACCUCCUAAGCCCCCCAGAGGCUCGAGGGGACUCCCCUCCUGGUCAGAUCAGGCUUCUUCCCCACGGCUACCCAUCCGUUUCGUUCGGUUACUUGCCACCAGGUUGCAGCUGCUGCAGCCACUCCAGUCCAAUUCGGCUGACGCUGGCACGGCAGCAUGCCAAUCAAUUACAUCUAACAGACCCCAACGUACCCGUUGGAACACAGGCGGUUCCAUCCACCGAUCCAGAGUGGGAUUACCAAGUUGGGCAAGCAGGGCGUCGCCGCCGGGACAUAAUGGUUCAAUGCCUCCUGGCAGGGAUGCAGGUGGCCUCCAAUAAAUCAGUCAACUUUGACAAACUAAAGGAAAUUGUACAAUACCCGGAUGAAAAUCCGGCAGUCUUCCUAAAUCGGCUGACUGAUGCCUUAGUCCACUAUACCCGCCUAGAUCCGGCCUCCCCUGCAGGGGCAACCAUCUUGGCAACAUAUUUUAUUUCCCAGUCAGCAAGAGAUAUUAGAAAAAAACUAAAAUAGGCGGAGGAAGGCCUCCAAACCCCUAUUCAGGACUUAGUAAAGCUGGCGUUCAAAGUUUUUAAUUCCCGAGAGGAGGCGGCUGAGGUACAACAACAGGCAAGAUUAAAACAAAAAGUUCAGCUCCAAACCCAGGCCCUGGCGGCUGCCGUGCAACCGGCAUUCCCUAAGAGCCCAGGCAAGAAAGGUAGAGGUACAAUCUCCCGGGCCCCAUCUGGCGCCUGCUUCAAGUGCGGCAACUCGGGACACUGGGCCAGCCGGUGCCCUAGCCAACAGCAACCGUCCUGCCUGCCUUACAACUGUUUCAAGUGCGGCAAUCCAGGUCAUUGGGCAAAGCAGUGCCCAAACCCCAAGCCGCCAAUGCGCCCGUGCCCUAACUGCCGACAAAUGGGGCACUGGAGGUCAGACUGCCCCGGCCUCAGAGCGGCCGCUGUGUCUCCACAUGGCGACCCCUCCCCGGAUGGUGAAGGCGCCUUCCAGCUCCUCCAACUGGACGAUGACUGAAGAGGCCCAGACUCGGGAACCCCUCUCACCCUUGCCAAGCUCAGGGUAAUGCUUCAGGUAGCAGAUGAGAUCGGCAGCUUGGGGCCAGGUGCAGUGGAUCACGCCUGUAAUCCCAGGACUUUGAGAGGCCGAGGCGGGCAGAUCACCUGAGAUCGGGAGUUCAAGACACAGCCUGAGCAACAUGAAGAAACCCCGUCUCUACUAAAAAUACAAAAUUAGGAGCUCUCCCUCUUCCUCUCCCUCUCCCUCUCCCCACGGUCUCCCUCUCCCUCUCUUUCCACGGUCUCCCUCUCAUGCUGAGCCGAAGCUGGACUGUACUGCUGCCAUCUUGGCUCACUGCAACCUCCCUGCCUGAUUCUCCUGACUCAGCCUGCCGAGUGCCUGCGAUUGCAGGCUCGCGCCGCCACGCCUGACUGGUUUUGGUGGAGACGGGGUUUCGCCGUGUUGGCCAGGCCGGUCUCCAGUCCCUAACCGCAGGUGAUCCGCCAGCCUCGGCCUCCCGAGGUGCCGGGAUUGCAGACGGAGUCUCGUUCACUCAGUGCUCAAUGGUGCCCAGGCUGGAGUGCAGUGGCGUGAUCUCGGCUCGCUACAACCUCCACCUCCCAGCUGCCUGCCUUGGCCUCCCAAAGUGCCAAGAUUGCAGCCUCUGCCCGGCUGCCACGCCGUCUGGGAAGUGAGGAGCGUCUCUGCCUGGCCGCCCAUCGUCUGGGAUGUGAGGAGCCCCUCUGCCUGGCUGCCCAGUCUGGAAAGUGAGGAGCGUCUCCGCCCGGCCGCCAUCCCACCUAGGAAGUGAGGAGCACCUCUUCCUGGCUGCCAUCACAUCUAGGAAGUGAGGAGCGUCUCUGCCCGGCCGCCCAUCGUCUGAGAUGUGGGGAGCGCCUCUGCCCCGCCACCCCGUCUGGGAUGUGAGGAGCACCUCUGCCCGGCCACCACCCCGUCUGGGAGGUGUGCCCAACAGCUCAUUGAGAACGGGCCAAGAUGACAAUGGAGGCUUUGUGGAUAGAAGGGCGGGAAAGGUGGGGAAAAGAUUGAGAAAUCGGAUGGUUGCCGUGUCUGUGUAGAAAGAAGUAGACAUGGGAGACUUUUCAUUAUGUUCUGUACUAAGAAAACUUCUUCUGCCGUGGGAUCCUGUUGAUCUGUGACCUUACCCCCAACCCUGUGCUCUCUGAAACAUGUGCUGUGUUCACUCAGGGUUAAAUGGAUUAAGGGCGGUGCAAGAUGUGCUUUGUUAAACAGAUGCUUGAAGGCAGCAUGCUCGUUAAGAGUCAUCACCACUCCCUAAUCUCAAGUACCCAGGGACACAAACACUGCGGAAGGCCGCGGGGUCCUCUGCCUAGGAAAACCAGAGACCUUUGUUCACUUGUUUAUCUGCUGACCUUCCCUCCACUAUUGUCCUAUGACCCUGCCAAAUCUCCCUCUGUGAGAAACACCCGAGAAUUAUCAAUAAAAAAUAAAUAAAUUAAAAAAAAAAAAAAAGUUCCGUUAUCUUCUUACUCUAGUAGAUACUUUCUCAGGUUGGAUUGAAGCCUAUCCCACCACUCAUGAAACAGCAGAGGUGGUAGCUUCAACCCUCAUUGAACACAUAAUCCCGAGAUUUGGCCUCCCUCGGACAAUCCAAUCUGAAAAUGGGCCUGCUUUUAUCUCCAAGAUAGUCAAACAGGUGACAACCACACUUGGCGUUAACUGGAAGCUACACACUCCAUACCAUCCACAGUCUUCUGGAAAAGUGGAACGCGCCAACGGCCUUGUCAAACAACACCUAAUCAAACUGGCUCUGGAGACACGCCAAUC